GAAAACUGGGAAGUCUGCCACAACAGAUCACACACACAGCAGGUCGGUGCAGUCAGGUUUCCUCGUGUGGUUUUUGGUGCGACAGAGUAAAAACAUGCCAUGUGCCUCACUCACCACCACCCUGAAGUCUUCCAGGUUCUUGAAUUUGGCGAGGUGUUCCUGCAGCUUGGGGUCGAUGGGCGGGUUCUUCAUCUUGGAGUAUUUCAGGAAGGCCCAGAACUUCUCCAGGCCGUACAGCUGACCUGUGGGAGGAGGACAGAGAGCAACGCCGCGUGGUUACGGUCAUGUACAGUCGGGCUGCGGCAAGUCUUUACGCCGUAGGCUUCACUUCACGGUUCUUGAUUGUGACUUUCAGCGAGGAAAAAAGAAAGAACUUACCUGCAUCGGUUCAGUUUUUUCGAGCCAAACUGCGGCUUAAAAACUGACGUACAAACCAAACCGUAAAAAAAGGUGAGCUGUUACUCCCCUGAUGUACAGACUGGCGGAUUAAAGAGAUUAAAGAUGCUCACUAAGGUGAUUACUGUUAACGAAAACUAAUGAAAUGA
Long non-coding RNA from Myripristis murdjan (pinecone soldierfish), 545 nucleotides. RefSeq lists it as uncharacterized. The transcript has 2 exons. NCBI's taxonomy places the organism in Eukaryota, Metazoa, Chordata, Actinopteri, Holocentriformes, Holocentridae. The record is from RefSeq and is a predicted model, not a curated record.